UCCCCAUGUAAAUCAUUAUAUUUUGGGGUGAAAGCUUAGUUUAAGGUUAGGGAAAGGUUAGAUUUAGUUUGAACAGACCUUCAGAGCAAGACCCAAU
Sebastes umbrosus (honeycomb rockfish) is the source of this 97-nucleotide long non-coding RNA. RefSeq lists it as uncharacterized. NCBI's taxonomy places the organism in Eukaryota, Metazoa, Chordata, Actinopteri, Perciformes, Sebastidae. The record is from RefSeq and is a predicted model, not a curated record. The transcript has 5 exons.